Molecule: ribosomal RNA, 427 nt
Filed under: uncultured bacterium
Lineage: Bacteria
Description: partial 16S ribosomal RNA
Rfam family: Bacterial small subunit ribosomal RNA
Source: RNAcentral
UGGGGAAUAUUGCACAAUGGGCGCAAGCCUGAUGCAGCCAUGCCGCGUGUAUGAAGAAGGCCUUCGGGUUGUAAAGUACUUUCAGCGGGGAGGAAGGUGUUGAGGUUAAUAACCUCAGCAAUUGACGUUACCCGCAGAAGAAGCACCGGCUAACUCCGUGCCAGCAGCCGCGGUAAUACGGAGGGUGCAAGCGUUAAUCGGAAUUACUGGGCGUAAAGCGCACGCAGGCGGUCUGUCAAGUCGGAUGGGAAAUCCCCGGGCUCAACCUGGGAACUGCAUUCGAAACUGGCAGGCUAGAGUCUUGUAGAGGGGGGUAGAAUUCCAGGUGUAGCGGUGAAAUGCGUAGAGAUCUGGAGGAAUACCGGUGGCGAAGGCGGCCCCCUGGACAAAGACUGACGCUCAGGUGCGAAAGCGUGGGGAGCAAACA